This is a small nucleolar RNA of Rhododendron vialii, 109 nucleotides long. RefSeq annotates it as small nucleolar RNA snoR100. The transcript has a single exon. The record is from RefSeq and is a predicted model, not a curated record. Lineage: Eukaryota; Viridiplantae; Streptophyta; Magnoliopsida; Ericales; Ericaceae.
GAAUGAAGGAAGCAAGUGUAAUGAGCACAGAAUUUUAGUCGGGUCUCUAGGCUUGCCCUCUCUGAUGCCUUCCGGCUUUGAUUUUUGGGCAUGGCUCCAAGCAUAACAU